Non-coding RNA from Punica granatum (pomegranate), 1118 nucleotides. The record is from RefSeq and is a predicted model, not a curated record. Lineage: Eukaryota; Viridiplantae; Streptophyta; Magnoliopsida; Myrtales; Lythraceae.
UUGAGCUUUCUGUACGGCAUGUAUAUAUGCAUAUAUAUAUAUAUAUAUAUGUGCAUGUAUGUGUAUAUAAGUCCAUUAGUUUAAUCAAUUUCGUGUGUUGCACCAGUGUUUCCUUCGAGCAUUGGCCGCUAGCACCGCCGAUCUCGAAACCCUAUCGAGGAAGUCGGUGUGGAUACCGGUAGAGGCUCACGUGUGGGGCGUUUGGUCGACGAAUCGAUAUUAACCAGUUCCCGCUUGAAGCACGGGCUAAGAGGGCGUCACUUGGGGUUGGUUUUUGUCCUACUUCAAUUCCUCGAGGGGCUACUCCCAAGUCGCGACAGCUUCUGAAGAUGGCUGGCAAAGAUGAUUCCACCACCAAGACAGCGAUUGUGACAUCAAGACGAUAAUGCCUUGUCCACCAGAUCAAAAAUCGCUAGUCCGAGGAUGGAAAUGGGAAGAGGAGAGGCAAAGAGAGAGGGAGCCACCAGCAACAAACACAACCAGGAGAGGGAGGAUGGUCAUGGGUUUCUGAUCCCAACGACAGUAGUGCCGAAUGCGCCCGGUCAAAGCCGGAAACCUGGUGAAGCAGCUGGACUUAUGGUUUCCUAGUUCUUGGCGUAGAUAGGAAUGAAGUCUAUCAAUUGCUAUUGUGAAAUAAAAUUAAAAUAAAUUAAAAAUUAAAAUAAAAAACCCUAUUUGUCUCCCUUAUCGUCUACCCUCUCUCUCUUUUCCUCUCCUCUGCCAAACUUGCUCUGCCACUAGCCAAGCCAUCAUUAGAGCUCCGGUCGGCUCACUCAUCACAGCCGACCCUUUCCUAUGCUUAGCACCUCUCUCUCUUCUUCUCCCUCUUCUAUUGGCUAUUGUAUCGUGGGAUCUCUCUUUGAGAUAUGGAUUAAGUUAGGGGCGCCCCCGUCGGCGACCCCCAAUCAAGCUAGCCGGCGGGAGCCGCCUCUCCCCACUUAACUAAGAUUCAAGGGGUGCAGCCCAAAAUUAAAAAGAAAAAAAAUGGGAGCUUCAACGCAUCAAUGGAGUAUUGAUCUGAGCAAUUCAUCAUCAUCAUCAUCUUUUUCUUCAUCUUCGUGUUGUAUUAAGUGUUUCGACCAAUUCAUAUUAAUGAAAGCUCAGCAGCAUUAAUCUGC